This 406-nucleotide ribosomal RNA is filed under the name uncultured bacterium. RNAcentral's name for it is "partial 16S ribosomal RNA". It matches the Rfam family "Bacterial small subunit ribosomal RNA", at positions 29 to 526 of the family's 1533-position model. The record is from RNAcentral.
AUUGAACGCUGGCGGCAGGCCUAACACAUGCAAGUCGAACGAGUGGCGGACGGGUGAGUAAUGGCUGGGAAACUGACUGAUGGAGGGGGAUAACUACUGGAAACGGUAACUACUACCGCAUACACUCGGAUGUGCCCGGAUGGGAUUAGCUAGUAGGUGGGGUAAAGGCGCACCCAGGCGACGAUCCCUAGCUGGGAGGAGAGGAUGAACAGCCACACUGGAACUGAGACACGGUCCAGACUCCUACGGGAGGCAGCAGUGGGGAAUAUUGCACAAUGGGCGCAAGCCUGAUGCAGCCAUGCCGCGUGUAUGAAGAAGGCCUUCGGGUUGUAAAGUACUUUCAGCUGGGAGGCGUUACCCGCAGAAGAAGCACCGGCUAACUCCGUGCCAGCCGCCGCGGUAAUAC